Molecule: ribosomal RNA, 465 nt
Filed under: Vreelandella stevensii
Lineage: Bacteria; Pseudomonadati; Pseudomonadota; Gammaproteobacteria; Oceanospirillales; Halomonadaceae
Description: partial 16S ribosomal RNA
Rfam family: Bacterial small subunit ribosomal RNA
Source: RNAcentral
CCUACGGGGGGCAGCAGUGGGGAAUAUUGGACAAUGGGGGCAACCCUGAUCCAGCCAUGCCGCGUGUGUGAAGAAGGCCCUCGGGUUGUAAAGCACUUUCAGUGAGGAAGAACGCCUGGUGGUUAAUACCCAUCAGGAAAGACAUCACUCACAGAAGAAGCACCGGCUAACUCCGUGCCAGCAGCCGCGGUAAUACGGAGGGUGCGAGGGUUAAUCGGAAUUACUGGGCGUAAAGCGCGCGUAGGUGGCUUGAUAAGCCGGUUGUGAAAGCCCCGGGCUCAACCUGGGAACGGCAUCCGGAACUGUCAAGCUAGAGUGCAGGAGAGGAAGGUAGAAUUCCCGGUGUAGCGGUGAAAUGCGUAGAGAUCGGGAGGAAUACCAGUGGCGAAGGCGGCCUUCUGGACUGACACUGACACUGAGGUGCGAAAGCGUGGGUAGCAAACAGGAUUAGAUACCCUAGUAGUC